CAAUAGCGUAUAUUUAAGUUGUUGCAGUUAAAAAGCUCGUAGUUGGAUUUCGGAUGGGAUCUGCCGGUCCGUCUUUGAGAUGUGUACUGGUAGGUCCUAUCUUGUUGUCGGGGACCAGCUCCUGGGCUUCACUGUCCGGGACUGGGAGCCGACGAAGUUACUUUGAGUAAAUUAGAGUGUUCAAAGCAAGCCUACGCUCUGAAUAUAUUAGCAUGGAAUAACACGAUAGGACUCUGGCUUAUCUUGUUGGUCUGUGAGACCAGAGUAAUGAUUAAGAGGGACAGUCGGGGACAUUCGUAUUUCAUUGUCAGAGGUGAAAUUCUUAGAUUGACGAAAGACAAACUGCUGCGAAAGCGUCUGCCAAGGAUGUUUUCAUUGA
Molecule: ribosomal RNA, 379 nt
Filed under: uncultured eukaryote
Lineage: Eukaryota
Description: partial 18S ribosomal RNA
Rfam family: Eukaryotic small subunit ribosomal RNA
Source: RNAcentral